Molecule: non-coding RNA, 29 nt
Filed under: Mus musculus (house mouse)
Lineage: Eukaryota; Metazoa; Chordata; Mammalia; Rodentia; Muridae
Source: RNAcentral
UGAAAGUUGCUAGCUUAUGAACCAUGAUA